AUUGAUCGUCAAGCUUUUCAGCGAGUUUUAGAGUUGGACCCUCAGAAUGUUGAUGCUCUAGUAGCACUGGCAAUCAUGGACUUGCAAACAAAUGAAGCUGGUGGGAUUCGGAGGGGAAUGGAGAAAAUGAAAAAAUCAUUUGAAAUCUAUCCUUAUUAUACAUUGGCACUCAACCACCUUGCGAAUCAUUAUUUCUUUACUGGCCAACAUUUUGUUGUUGAACAAUUGACUGAGAUGGCUCUUUCUUCAAGCAACCAUGGACUACUGAAACCACAUGCUUACUACAACUUAGCCAGAUCAUACCACA
Long non-coding RNA from Zea mays, 307 nucleotides. RefSeq lists it as uncharacterized. The transcript has 3 exons. The record is from RefSeq and is a predicted model, not a curated record. NCBI's taxonomy places the organism in Eukaryota, Viridiplantae, Streptophyta, Magnoliopsida, Poales, Poaceae.